RNAcentral lists this ribosomal RNA (468 nucleotides) under uncultured bacterium. Its description in RNAcentral is "partial 16S ribosomal RNA". It matches the Rfam family "Bacterial small subunit ribosomal RNA", at positions 28 to 507 of the family's 1533-position model. The record is from RNAcentral.
GACGAACGCUGGCGGCGUGCUUAACACAUGCAAGUCGAACGGAAAGGCCCGGCUCUUGCGGGGUGCUCGUUUGGCGAGCGGGGGAGUAACACGUGAGUAACCUGUCCCUGACUGUGGGAUAUCUUUAGGAAACUGGGGCUAAUACAGGAUAGGAGCUCCUGCUGCACGGUGGUGGUUGGAAAGUUUCGGCGGUUGGGGAUGGACUCGCGGGUUAUCAGCUUGUUAGUCGGGUAGUGGCAUACCAAGGCUUUGACGGGUAGCCGGCCUGAGAGGGUGACCAGCCACAUUGGGACUGAGAGACGGCCCAGUCUGGAACGGGAGGCAGCAGUCGGGAAUAUUACACAGUAGGGGGAAGCGAGAUAUAGAAACGCCGGGUGCGGGAUGACGGGCUUCGGGUUGUAAACCGCUGUGUCCGGUGCUAUAGAGUGAGUGACGGUAAUGAGUAAAAAAGCACCGGCUAACUACGUG